CCUACGGGAGGCAGCAGUGGGGAAUAUUGGGCAAUGGAGGAAACUCUGACCCAGCAACGCCGCGUGAAGGAUGAAGGUUUUCGGAUUGUAAACUUCUGUCGCGAGGGAUGAAGAAUGACGGUACCUCGUAAGAAAGCCCCGGCAAACUACGUGCCAGCAGCCGCGGUAAUACGGGGGGUGCAAGCGUUGUCUGGAAUCAUUGGGCGUAAAGAGUUCGUAGGCGGCACGUAAAGUCUGGUGUUAAAGGCAGAGGCUCAACUUCUGUACGGCACUGGAUACUUGCGAGCUAGAAUGCGGUAGAGGUAAAGGGAAUUCCUGGUGUAGCGGUGAAAUGCUUAGAUAUCAGGAGGAACAUCGGUGGCGUAAGCGCUUUACUGGGCCGUAAUUGACGCUGAGGAACGAAAGCCAGGGUAGCAAAUGGGAUUAGAUACCCCAGUAGUC
RNAcentral lists this ribosomal RNA (441 nucleotides) under uncultured bacterium. Its description in RNAcentral is "partial 16S ribosomal RNA". It matches the Rfam family "Bacterial small subunit ribosomal RNA", at positions 338 to 795 of the family's 1533-position model. The record is from RNAcentral.